UCCCAUGUAGUCUAGAUGGUUAGGAUAUGCGGCUCUCACCCGCACGACCGGGGUUCGAGUCCCCGCGUGGGAAC
Molecule: transfer RNA, 74 nt
Filed under: Babesia caballi
Lineage: Eukaryota; Apicomplexa; Aconoidasida; Piroplasmida; Babesiidae
Description: tRNA-Glu
Rfam family: tRNA
About the family: Transfer RNA (tRNA) molecules are approximately 80 nucleotides in length. Their secondary structure includes four short double-helical elements and three loops (D, anti-codon, and T loops). Further hydrogen bonds mediate the characteristic L-shaped molecular structure. tRNAs have two regions of fundamental functional importance: the anti-codon, which is responsible for specific mRNA codon recognition, and the 3' end, to which the tRNAs corresponding amino acid is attached (by aminoacyl-tRNA synthetases). tRNAs cope with the degeneracy of the genetic code in two manners: having more than one tRNA (with a specific anti-codon) for a particular amino acid; and 'wobble' base-pairing, i.e. permitting non-standard base-pairing at the 3rd anti-codon position.
Source: RNAcentral